Molecule: small RNA, 148 nt
Filed under: pig gut metagenome
Description: HNH endonuclease-associated RNA and ORF (HEARO) RNA
Rfam family: HNH endonuclease-associated RNA and ORF (HEARO) RNA
Source: RNAcentral
GUCAACUACCCACGAAUGAAUUCGUGGGCUUGAGGUGAAAACCCGAAAGCCCAAGUUGACCAGACUCAGUGAGGCGGGAAACCGCCGAACUACGUUGGAUAAGAAUACACAGGCACUCCGGGAUGUUUAUCCCAGUCCCGGACUCUGC